CCUACGGGAGGCAGCAGUGAGGAAUAUUGGUCAAUGGUCGGGAGACUGAACCAGCCAAGCCGCGUGAGGGAGGAAGGUACAGAGUAUCGUAAACCUCUUUUGUCAGGGAACAAAGGCGGGGACGUGUCCCCGGAUGAGUGUACCUGAAGAAAAAGCAUCGGCUAACUCCGUGCCAGCAGCCGCGGUAAUACGGGGGAUGCGAGCGUUAUCCGGAUGUAUUGGGUUUAAAGGGUGCGCAGGCGGUCUGUUAAGUCAGGGGUCAAAGCCCGGGGCUCACCCCCGGCCCGCCGUUGAAACUGGCAGUCUCGAGUUGGAGAGAAGUAUGCGGAAUGCGCGGUGUAGCGGUGAAAUGCAUAGAUAUCGCGCAGAACUCCGAUUGCGAAGGCAGCAUGCCGGCUCCACACUGACGCUGAGGCACGAAAGCGUGGGUAGCGAACAGGAUUAGAUACCCUUGUAGUC
Molecule: ribosomal RNA, 459 nt
Filed under: uncultured bacterium
Lineage: Bacteria
Description: partial 16S ribosomal RNA
Rfam family: Bacterial small subunit ribosomal RNA
Source: RNAcentral